CACGUAGGGGGCGAGCGUUGUCCGGAUUUAUUGGGCGUAAAGAGCUCGUAGGCGGCUCGGUAAGUCGGGUGUGAAACCUCCAGGCUCAACCUGGAGACGCCACCUGAUACUGCUGUGGCUAGAGUCCGGUAGGGGAGUGUGGAACUCCUGGUGUAGCGGUGAAAUGCGCAGAUAUCAGGAGGAACACCGGUGGCGAAGGCGGGUCUCUGGGCCGAUACUGACGCUGAGGAGCGAAAGCGUGGGGAGCGAACAGG
This 254-nucleotide ribosomal RNA is filed under the name uncultured bacterium. RNAcentral describes it as "partial 16S ribosomal RNA". It matches the Rfam family "Bacterial small subunit ribosomal RNA", at positions 524 to 776 of the family's 1533-position model. The record is from RNAcentral.